GACGAACGCUGGCGGCGUGCCUAAUACAUGCAAGUCGAACGCAGUGGGGACGGGUGAGUAACACGUGGGUAACCUCCCAUCAGAGGGGAUAACACUUGGAAACAGGUGCUAAACCGAUACUGAUGGAUGGACCCGCUGUGCAUUAGCUAGUUGGUGAGGUAACGGCGCACCAAGGCCACGAUGCAUAGCCGGCCUGAGAGGGUGAUCGGCCACACUGGGACUGAGACACUGCCCAGACGCCUCCGGGAGGCAGCAGUCGGGAAUCUUCGGCAAUGGGCGAAAGGCUGAGCGAGUUACGCCGCGUGGGUGAAGAAGGUUUUCGGUUCGUAAAACUCUGUUGUUAGAGAGGCGGUAUCUAACCAAAAAGCCACGGAUAACUACGUGCCAGCAGCCGCGGUAAUUC
RNAcentral lists this ribosomal RNA (403 nucleotides) under uncultured bacterium. RNAcentral describes it as "partial 16S ribosomal RNA". It matches the Rfam family "Bacterial small subunit ribosomal RNA", at positions 28 to 526 of the family's 1533-position model. The record is from RNAcentral.